Molecule: long non-coding RNA, 436 nt
Organism: Ictidomys tridecemlineatus (thirteen-lined ground squirrel)
Lineage: Eukaryota; Metazoa; Chordata; Mammalia; Rodentia; Sciuridae
Source: RefSeq, a predicted model, not a curated record
CCACUCACCUGACCGGGAUGCGGCGGCGGCGGCGGGCGACGGAACCGGGAGCUGCGGCCCUCCCCACCCCCUGGCUUCAAGUUUGCCAGGAGGACGCCUGGAAUGUGCGGAAUGAAGGCUGGGAACCAGGAAGCAGGAACUCUCAGCUCGACUCCCAGAUCCGCCACUGGUGCCCCCACGCUGGUCCUCUGGUGUCCCUCAGGAUCCGCAAAGCUGUUACUAGGAAGAAUAAAGCACAUGGGAGAAAGCAGUCAGUGUGAGAUCCGUGCGGUAUGGCAAGAGACUCGUUCUGGACUCAGUAGUAAAGAAAUGAUUUCAAGUCAAUGACGUCACUAGCAUCUCUGGAACUGCAAUUAUCCUGAGAAUUUGGGCGACAGCUCUCCUAAAGAAGAGUGUGAGCAUAUUCCAGUUCAGGAUCUGAACGAAUCAAUACUUU